GAGAUAAAUGCCACAAAGACAAUAAGUAUGAUGUUGGAGGGUGAGAAACAGAAGGGGUUUUAGAUGCAGAAGUCAGGGUAGGUCUAUUUGAGAAGUGAUAGUGAAUGAAGCUGGGGCCUGGAAGAUACAAAGGAACUUGCCAUAGAGACAUUAACCAUUUGGGCAAAGAACAGCAAAAGUAAAGUCCUCAAGGAAGGGAGGACGUGGAAAGGAAAGAAAGCCAGUUUCCAGGAGCUCACUGUGACAUGAGGUGGCAGAUCUGGGGAAAGGCCAGAGAUUUCCAGUCUUGCUCUCUCUAUCUUGGUAGAAGUUUGGGUUUUACUUUAUGUGAGGCAAGAGACACUGGAGGGAGUGACAUGAGCUGAUUUAACUUUCAGAACGAUCACUGCAAGUUGGUAGACCUAAAGUGUCCACAAAGGGGAAAAUGCAGACACAAGAGCUGCAUCCUCCGGGCAUCACUGCAGAAGUCCAGGCAGAAGGCGAUGGUGACUUCCUCUGAAUGGAGCGAGUGGACUGGAAGAAAAGCAGAGACAGGAGACUGACAGGAGCAGAAGGGGAAGAAAAAAAUCCAGCAAUGAUUUUCACUGCUUCCAACCCCAAACUGGCCCAGUUCCUGCUCUGUCAUUUUUCACCAUGGCUGCUCCAUAAAGGUAAGAGUCACAUUCAGUUGCUAUGUGCUUGGUACACAGUUGGUGCUUAAUAAAUAGCACAGGA
This 714-nucleotide long non-coding RNA is filed under the name Cavia porcellus (domestic guinea pig). RNAcentral's name for it is "lncRNA (ENSCPOG00000039609.1)". Lineage: Eukaryota; Metazoa; Chordata; Mammalia; Rodentia; Caviidae. The record is from RNAcentral.